GAGGGGGCAAGCGUGUUCGGAAUUACUGGGCGUAAAGGGCGCGUAGGCGGCUCUUUUAGUCAGGUGUGAAAGCCCUGGGCUCAACCUGGGAGUGGCACUUGAUACUGGAGGGCUAGAGAGUGGGAGAGGUUGGUGGAAUUCCCAGUGUAGAGGUGAAAUUCGUAGAUAUUGGGAAGAACACCGGUGGCGAAGGCGGCCAACUGGACCAUUUCUGACGCUGAGGCGCGAAAGCGUGGGGAGCAAACAGGAUUAGAUACCCUGGUAGUCCACGCUGUAAACGAUGAGUGCUGGACGUUGCGGAGCUUGCUCUGCGGUGUCGUAGCUAACGCGAUAAGCACUCCGCCUGGGGAGUACGGCCGCAAGGUUG
This 367-nucleotide ribosomal RNA is filed under the name uncultured organism. RNAcentral describes it as "bacterial SSU rRNA". It matches the Rfam family "Bacterial small subunit ribosomal RNA", at positions 528 to 896 of the family's 1533-position model. The record is from RNAcentral.